AUGCUGCUGGGCCCUGAGGGAGGGGAGGGCUUUGUGGUCAGGCUCCAUGGCCCGCCCUGGCCCUGAUCUGUCGAGGAUGCGCAGGACGUCCUCUCCAACUGCACCAUGCCCCAUUGGGCUCAGGCGAGUUCCAUCUACACCGGAGAGGGGUAGGCAGAGUGGUGAGGCUUUUGCUGAACUUGGAUCAGAAGAGGACGUAAAAAUGGCCCUGGAAAAAGACCGGGAAAGCAUGGGACACUGGCGCAUUGCGGUGUUCAAGUCCCACAGAACCGAGGUGAGUUGGGUGUUGAAGGAAGCACGGCGGUCCCAACAGUGCGGGCAGCGCCAACUACGGCUUCGCGCUCGAACUUUGAGGACUCUCAUCUGGAUGCACAAAGAAGAAAUCAUUCAGUUCUUCUCAGUGUUGGAAAUCCCAAGAGUUGGCCUCGCAGGAGUUAGCUGAGAGGCUCUCGGAAAGCCCAAGGAGAGGACAGGGCACAGAGACAUGGAGGUGUUCAAGAGCAGCCAGGAGGAAGUUAGGUCGGACUCAGGUCCCCCUGAGACUCAUAUCCGUGCUGCCCCGGACCCCUGUGACUGGCCCGGGCUUCCGGGAGCUACCCUGGCAUCGUGAAGCAGGCAGGCGCAGGAUGCGGGGCCACGAGGAGCAUAGCGGCCUCUGCACCACGGAGCUGCUUGGUGGGGGGUGUGGGGGAACCUCAGCUACUGUCUCUCCGGAAUGUAUGACCACAAAUAUGGCGACAGUGAGUUCACAGGGCAUAGCACCACCGGCCACUGCCUCUGCAUGAGGGGCUGCCAUGCAAAGCGACCAAGAGCGACAUUUACAACCUCUUCUCUCCUUCCAACCUGGUGAGAGUCCACAUUGAGAUGGGCCCAGAUGGAAGAGUGACCGGCAAAGCAGAUGUUGAGUUUGCUACUCGGGAAGAAGCAGUGGCAGCUACCUCCAGAGACAGGGUCAGCAUGUGGCACAGAUACAUAGAACUAUUCCUGAAUUUGACAACAGGGGCUAGCAAUGGGGCGUACAGCAGUCGGGAUGCGAGGCAUGGGCUUGACCACCUACAGUGACCUGAAGAGCCAGUCAGUGAGCGGCUGUGAUGGGUCUGGCCACAGCGGGCAGAACAGCAUGGGUGAAUAGG
RNAcentral lists this long non-coding RNA (1133 nucleotides) under Homo sapiens (human). RNAcentral describes it as "non-protein coding lnc-GUCA2B-3:1". The record is from RNAcentral. Lineage: Eukaryota; Metazoa; Chordata; Mammalia; Primates; Hominidae.